AGUAGACGCCUACGCGGAUCCGCAUCCAAGUCGCGAAACCCGCGUGACUGUCACAUUCGUUUUGGCACCGCCCAGAGGAUCCGCUCCGCCUCCGGGCAGCGCGGUGAAUUCUACUAUCCCACACUGGACCCGUGUCGGAUCCGCUCCGCCUCCGGGCAGCGCGGUGAAUUCUACUGUCCGACACUGGAUCCGUGUCGGAUCCGCAGAAGUGGACGCGCCUUUACUGUAAAGGUUGAACUACAACCUCUUGGUGUGCUCUUGCUACGCCGAGACAAGAGUCAUAUCAGUGGAGAUUUUCUUUCUUAGGACACGGUUGCGCUGAACUAUCUGAGAUGCCUUUUCAUCUAAUUGAAUUUCAGGCAAGCGAGGACAUUGCUUUUGUGCCAGUUGACUGGUAUGAUGACGUGAUGGUGUACUGGCCCAGCUGAACGUGUGAAACGGGCAGCUGCUAACGAGGAGAAGCAUGAGCCAAACUGGCCAAGAUAUGACGUAAAGGUCGUCAGAACUUGUGACAACUACAAAGACGCCAUCAGGCUAAUGAAUCAAUAUCAGACCGGCUGCAACGCCUCUGAGCUACAGUCUGAGGCAGAGCAGGAGGGAUAGCUGCCAGAGAAAUGAUUCAGGAAGCCAAUCCAUCGUUUUGGGGACUCUGAUGAGAGUGAAGAAGAGCCAGAAAAUUCGGCUGGUGUAUCAGUUGGAGCCUCAAGCCCAAACCAAUUACACUGGCAGACUCCACCAUCUCACUGAGUGCCAUGCAGCAGAGUCACUACUCCUCAACCUGGAGGAAACUGUCUAGCACCUGACCAUGGGGCCGGACCCCAACACCCUUCACCACCUCAACUCCCUGCACCUGUAUUUAACAUGAGGAGAGUUACUCAAGGAACGGCAGUCCCUCCUCAACUCCCUCCACCUCCCGCACCGGCCCUCAACAUGAGGCGAACAGAGGAGCCCUCUUCAAGCCUGGCCUACAGACCAACAUGGCGAGGGGGAGGAAUGACCGAUACCAUUCCCUGCUCUGUGGCUGAGGUCCACAUCCUUAGCCUGCUGGAGACCAUUAAAUAACAACAAGACCAGCUUGUGGCAAAGGUGAACUACCUCAGCAGCAGGCUGAACAGCAACCCGGGGCCAGAUGUUGAGAUGCCGGACAAUAUCCAGUUUCCCCUAGGACAAUUGGAGGCAGUGGAGGCAUUUGAAAUGUUUUUAAAGGAACCGUCAAAUGGCCCAGCUCGACAGAGCGUGGUGCUGUGAGGAAAAACACAGUGACACGGUCAGCCACGGACGCAGAGGUCACCAAGCACGCAAUCAGGUGGUUCAACCUGGCAGCGGAUCGGGCAACGAGGAGACGUGUCCCGCCUCAAGCCACACAAACGGAGUAAUAGGAGAAAUAAGCAAUAAACAAUAUUUUUAUUGAA
This is a long non-coding RNA of Esox lucius (northern pike), 1412 nucleotides long. RefSeq lists it as uncharacterized. The transcript is spliced from 9 exons. The record is from RefSeq and is a predicted model, not a curated record. NCBI's taxonomy places the organism in Eukaryota, Metazoa, Chordata, Actinopteri, Esociformes, Esocidae.